This 468-nucleotide ribosomal RNA is filed under the name uncultured bacterium. RNAcentral's name for it is "partial 16S ribosomal RNA". It matches the Rfam family "Bacterial small subunit ribosomal RNA", at positions 28 to 507 of the family's 1533-position model. The record is from RNAcentral.
GACGAACGCUGGCGGCGUGCUUAACACAUGCAAGUCGAACGGAAAGGCCCUGAUUUUGUGGGGUGCUCGAGUGGCGAACGGGUGAGUAACACGUGAGUAACCUGCCCUUGACUUUGGGAUAACUUCAGGAAACUGGGGCUCAUACCGGAUAGGAGCUCCUGCUGCAUGGUGUGGGUUGGAAAGUUUCGGCGGUUGGGGCUGGACUAGCGGCUUAUCAGCUUGUUGGUGGGGUAGUGGCUUACCAAGGCUUUGACGGGUAGCCGGCCUGAGAGGGUGACCGGCCACAUUGGGACUGAGAGACGGCCCAGACUCCUACGGGAGGCAGCAGUGGGGAAUAUUGCACAACGGGCGGAAGCGUGAUGCAGCAACGCCGCGUGCGGGAUGACGGCCUUCGGGUUGUAAACCGCUUUCGCCUUUGACGAAGCGUGAGUGACGGUAAUGGGUAAAGAAGCACCGGCUAACUACGUG